ACAAGCCUGAGAAACGGCUAGUAGGACUAAGGUCUGCAGCAGGCGCGAAACUUACACAAUGCUAGAUUAUAAGUUAGCGAUGUAGUGAAGAAAAAUAACGAUGUGCUUGCAUUUAAACAUGCUUGCACAAUUGGAAUGAGACGACUCUAAACCGGUCAGUCGAGUAACAAAUGGAGGGCAAGUCUGGUGCCAGCAGCCGCGGUAAUUCCAGCUCCAUUAGCAUACAUUAAAGUUGUUGCGGUUAAAAAGCUCGUAGUUGAAUGUAGUUGUUGCGCGUUUGUCGCUGGGGCGUUAAGCGGAGCUUCGGCCUCGUGUCUCAGUCGGCAAUAGCGCAGCGAGUUUCGUCACUUAAUCGAGUGCGAAGCGGGGCAGGCUAACAAGACUUCGGUCUAGCUAACUUGCCGAGUUUACCUUGAGAAAAUUAGAGUGCUCAGAGCAGGCAGUUGGGGUGUAAAAGCUCCUUUAUGCUUGAAUAAUGUUGCAUGGAAUAAUAGAAUACGGCCUCGGUUCUAUUCUGUUGGUCUUAUAGAACAACAAACAAGUUGGUGUUGUCGUUAAAGGUUCUGUUUGAGUGUGUCUUGGAAGGACUUGUUGCCUGGGGGUAAAACUUCAGUGCCAACCAACCUUGACAUAAAAAGCACUCUCGCAAAGCCAGACAUGCAUCCAACUGAGGCAAUGGUUAAAAGAAAUAGUCGCGGCGGCAUCAGUACUGCAUCGUGAGAG
Molecule: ribosomal RNA, 723 nt
Filed under: Aculus altissimae
Lineage: Eukaryota; Metazoa; Arthropoda; Arachnida; Trombidiformes; Eriophyidae
Description: partial 18S ribosomal RNA
Rfam family: Eukaryotic small subunit ribosomal RNA
Source: RNAcentral